GCCCUUCUUAAAGCACUUGCCCCGCCUGGCGUGCAGUGGCGGGGUGAGCUGUCGUGGAAGGGCACAGGAAGUGCGUCGCUGUUGGGUGAGAGGGCAGCUGCGUGUGCUGCAGAUUCUCAAUCCGCGACGGGACACUC
Molecule: small nucleolar RNA, 137 nt
Filed under: Lepisosteus oculatus (spotted gar)
Lineage: Eukaryota; Metazoa; Chordata; Actinopteri; Semionotiformes; Lepisosteidae
Source: RNAcentral